UACGUAGGGGGCUAGCGUUGUCCGGAAUCAUUGGGCGUAAAGGGCGCGUAGGCGGCCUGCUAAGUCGAACGUGAAAUCCCUGGGCUCAACCCAGGAACUGCGUCCGAUACUGGUUGGCUUGAAUCCGGGAGAGGGAUGUGGAAUUCCAGGUGUAGCGGUGAAAUGCGUAGAUAUCUGGAGGAACACCGGUGGCGAAGGCGACAUCCUGGACCGGUAUUGACGCUGAGGCGCGAAAGCCAGGGGAGCAAACGGG
RNAcentral lists this ribosomal RNA (253 nucleotides) under uncultured bacterium. RNAcentral describes it as "partial 16S ribosomal RNA". It matches the Rfam family "Bacterial small subunit ribosomal RNA", at positions 524 to 776 of the family's 1533-position model. The record is from RNAcentral.